RNAcentral lists this ribosomal RNA (427 nucleotides) under uncultured bacterium. Its description in RNAcentral is "partial 16S ribosomal RNA". It matches the Rfam family "Bacterial small subunit ribosomal RNA", at positions 355 to 774 of the family's 1533-position model. The record is from RNAcentral.
UGGGGAAUUUUGGACAAUGGGCGCAAGCCUGAUCCAGCCAUGCCGCGUGUCUGAAGAAGGCCUUCGGGUUGUAAAGGACUUUUGUCAGGGAAGAAAAGGGCGGGGUUAAUACCCCUGUCUGAUGACGGUACCUGAAGAAUAAGCACCGGCUAACUACGUGCCAGCAGCCGCGGUAAUACGUAGGGAGCGAGCGUUAAUCGGAAUUACUGGGCGUAAAGCGGGCGCAGACGGUUACUUAAGCAGGAUGUGAAAUCCCCGGGCUCAACCUGGGAACUGCGUUCUGAACUGGGUGACUAGAGUGUGUCAGAGGGAGGUAGAAUUCCACGUGUAGCAGUGAAAUGCGUAGAGAUGUGGAGGAAUACCGAUGGCGAAGGCAGCCUCCUGGGAUAACACUGACGUUCAUGCCCGAAAGCGUGGGUAGCAAACA